This 256-nucleotide long non-coding RNA is filed under the name Elaeis guineensis (African oil palm). RNAcentral's name for it is "long non-coding RNA (EGUI_LNC044846)". Lineage: Eukaryota; Viridiplantae; Streptophyta; Magnoliopsida; Arecales; Arecaceae. The record is from RNAcentral.
UGCGCGUGACAUUCUUGAAAGUUUGUAUUAAGGCCAUUUCUCUAUAUGUGGGCUGAUCUGGUGGAAGAGAUGUCGUUUGUGGGCCACGGUGUAGAUAUACAUUGACCUCCUCAUCAUCUGCCAAGGCCCUCAUUGUGUUGGCCGUGAUCCGUUGGUGAGUCUGGUACAGUAGAGUGUUUGGCCUCAUUAGGUGCAAAGCCAAAAUCAGACUCAAAAUUCGACAAAGGUACAGUUGGCCAUUGUCCAUCGAGUCCUC